Molecule: ribosomal RNA, 497 nt
Filed under: uncultured bacterium
Lineage: Bacteria
Description: partial 16S ribosomal RNA
Rfam family: Bacterial small subunit ribosomal RNA
Source: RNAcentral
GAUGAACGCUGGCGGCGUGCCUAAUACAUGCAAGUCGAGCGAACGGACGAGAAGCUUGCUUCUCUGAUGUUAGCGGCGGACGGGUGAGUAACACGUGGACAACCUACCUAUAAGACUGGGAUAACUUCGGGAAACCGGAGCUAAUACCGGAUAAUAUUUUGAACCGCAUGGUUCAAAAGUGAAAGACGGUCUUGCUGUCACUUAUAGAUGGAUCCGCGCUGCAUUAGCUAGUUGGUAAGGUAACGGCUUACCAAGGCAACGAUGCAUAGCCGACCUGAGAGGGUGAUCGGCCACACUGGAACUGAGACACGGUCCAGACUCCUACGGGAGGCAGCAGUAGGGAAUCUUCCGCAAUGGGCGAAAGCCUGACGGAGCAACGCCGCGUGAGUGAUGAAGGUCUUCGGAUCGUAAAACUCUGUUAUUAGGGAAGAACAUAUGUGUAAGUAACUGUGCACAUCUUGACGGUACCUAAUCAGAAAGCCACGGCUAACUACGUG